AUUUAUAUGAAUGACGUGUUAUGUAUUUGAAAAUCCUCGAGCAUCAGCUUACCAGCUUGUUCAUGGAGUCUUUCCUUCCAUAUAUCGCAACACCACAUAAAUGAUUCUAUUGGCUACAACUGCAUUUAUAUGCGAAUUAUUUUGAAAAUUAAGGAGACAUCAUGUCUAAAGCAACUGGUAACGUAAAAUGGUUUAACGAAACUAAAGGUUUCGGUUUUAUUUCUCAAGACGACGGCGGCGCUGACGUAUUCGUUCACUUCCGUGCAAUCGUUUCUGACGGUUUCAAGACUCUUGCUGAAGGUCAAAAAGUUUCUUUUGACGUUGAACAAGGUCAAAAAGGUCCUCAAGCUGCAAACGUUGUUUGUCUAUAAGCUUGUCGAUUUUGACAGAUUAUUGAAAAAGCAGGCCUAGGCCUGCUUUUUUUU
Molecule: small RNA, 425 nt
Filed under: Vibrio genomosp. F10
Lineage: Bacteria; Pseudomonadati; Pseudomonadota; Gammaproteobacteria; Vibrionales; Vibrionaceae
Description: Vibrio sp. F10 cspA thermoregulator
Rfam family: cspA thermoregulator
Source: Rfam by way of RNAcentral